RNAcentral lists this long non-coding RNA (656 nucleotides) under Homo sapiens (human). Its description in RNAcentral is "HSALNT0111623". Lineage: Eukaryota; Metazoa; Chordata; Mammalia; Primates; Hominidae. The record is from RNAcentral.
GUAAGGAAACUGGUGUUCAAAGAGGUUGAAGGACUUGGUCAAAGAACAUAAACGGUGGUCCUCCAGAUUCACUGUCUACCCUCCACUCUGCUCUCAGCCCAGGAAACUGAUCCAUCAAGGCUGUAUCAAUAGACACCCUCACUCCCUGGCUUGCCCAAAGGGAGCUCUGGCAGGAGAUGAGAACAAAGAGCAGGAUGAGCUCCAGCAACAACUGUUUCUUGUGACUUUCUGUGGGACUCUGAGGAAUGUUGGGAUGAUAAUCACAGGAACCAAUGGCUGCCUCUGGAAAGCCCAUAAUUCUGCACAUUCAUGGAGCUUCACUCUGAUUCCAAAUCCAGAAAGACCACCAUGUCACUUAUGGAGACACUUGAAAUCCUUUCCACAUCUUCACUCAUCACGCCUGGGGUGAGAACUAGGAAUACGUGAAUAAACCAAUAACACGUUACUGAAGUCAGUUUCGAGUUUUGCCUGCUAUGAACUUAGAAACAACUCCAUUUCUCUCAGCACUAGAUGGCCUGUUCAGAGUGUAUGUGUGUGUGUGUGUGUGUCCUCAUGUGUGCAGAGACAGAAAGAGACAGAGGGAGAGAACGCAAUAUUUAGUUUUGAAGAUAUUACACUUAUAAUUAUGCUUUCAGAAGCCUGUUUCUGGGAGUACC